UACGAAGGGGGCUAGCGUUGCUCGGAAUUACUGGGCGUAAAGGGCGCGUAGGCGGAUAGUUUAGUCAGAGGUGAAAGCCCAGGGCUCAACCUUGGAAUUGCCUUUGAUACUGGCUAUCUUGAGUUCGGGAGAGGUGAGUGGAAUGCCGAGUGUAGAGGUGAAAUUCGUAGAUAUUCGGCGGAACACCAGUGGCGAAGGCGACUCACUGGCCCGAUACUGACGCUGAGGCGCGAAAGCGUGGGGAUCAAACAGG
Molecule: ribosomal RNA, 253 nt
Filed under: uncultured bacterium
Lineage: Bacteria
Description: partial 16S ribosomal RNA
Rfam family: Bacterial small subunit ribosomal RNA
Source: RNAcentral